AUCAACCUAAAACUAAUUAAAUUUGAUAUUCUUUUAGUUUACUUUAAUAUUUAAUCUUUAUGCAACAGUCUCUAGUUAAUUGGAUUUCAUUGAACAUCACUAAACAGCAUCAUUUUUCAAGUUAAACUUUGCCUUUAAUGAUUGCUGAACACCCUAACCAAAUUAUUGCCAUUUAACUAUCCAUUUGUAUGGUAACAGUGAGUAGGACGUUAACAUUUCACCGUAGGUUAGGUGAUUGAAAUUGAUCAGCUUGCGGUUGAAAUAAAUUGUGUUAAAUUGUGCAACUACUGGAUAACUAAUCAUCUAAAAUUCCUGGAUAUCUGGAAAUCAAGGUGGAAAGACCAACCAUAAAAGACCCAAUGUUUUCUGGUUGUCUAGUUGAUUUAGGAAAACCUUGAAAUUUUAAAUUAUAAUCAAUCUGAGACCAGAUUCCAAUCAAACAGACUCUUGUAUCUUAAUAUUUCACGUGAACAAAUCAAAUUUAAGUCAUGAUAAAGCAAUAAAAACAGAAAAAGUUACAGACGGAUCAGAUUCCAGCUGAUUUCAGGCAAUAUCUUCAUAACUGGUUAUAGAAACAAUGUACCACUAUUUUGAUUGCUGUAUCUGCUCGAUUGACAUUUAAUUAUUGAUUAUAAUUACCCAUAACAUGAGACAUCCAUGUGAAUUCCGUUCGAUCUUAGCUCAUCCCAGAUUGACUUGUCUAAUCUUUACUUGUUGCAAUUUUUUGAUAAAUGAGCUGAAAGAGUAAAAUUUUUUGAUAUGAUUAAUGUCAUUUAAAUCAGAUGCUCAUUAGGGUUAAUAGUAAUGUAUCGAUUGAUGACCCGGUCUCAAUUUUAAAUAAUGUACAAUCAAUUUCUUGUGGUAAGCUUUGAUGAACCAGGUAAAUCUGAUUAUAACGGACAUGAUAUCUUUUCUGUUGUUAUUAAUAAUGGCAAAUUGUGUGUCAGUUACGUUUGAUUAGAGUUUUAAAUUAUACUGAUUGGUUUAUUAAAGAUUCAUAUUUCUAAUAAUGGUAACAGUAAUAGUGAUCAACAUCAUCUUGACAUUGAAUAAAUGUAAUUGGAACUU
This is a non-coding RNA of Tetranychus urticae (two-spotted spider mite), 1068 nucleotides long. The record is from RefSeq and is a predicted model, not a curated record. Lineage: Eukaryota; Metazoa; Arthropoda; Arachnida; Trombidiformes; Tetranychidae.